RNAcentral lists this ribosomal RNA (440 nucleotides) under uncultured bacterium. RNAcentral describes it as "partial 16S ribosomal RNA". It matches the Rfam family "Bacterial small subunit ribosomal RNA", at positions 338 to 795 of the family's 1533-position model. The record is from RNAcentral.
CCUACGGGUGGCAGCAGUGGGGGAUAUUGCACAAUGGGGGAAACCCUGAUGCAGCGACGCCGCGUGAGUGAAGAAGUAUUUCGGUAUGUAAAGCUCUAUCAGCAGGGAAGAAAAUGACAGUACCUGACCAAGAAGCCCCGGCUAACUACGUGCCAGCAGCCGAGGCAAUACGAAGGGGGCAAGCGUAAUCCGGAUUUAAUGGGGGUAAAGGGAGCGUAGACGGUUAUGUAAGUCUGGAGUUAAAGCCCCGGGCCCAACCCCGGGACUGCUUUGGAAACUGUGGACCUGGAGUACAGGAGGGGCAGGCGGAAUGUCUGGUGUAGAGGUGAAAUGCGUAGAUAUCAGGCGGAACACCGGCGGCGAAGGCAGCCUGCUGGACUGAAGCUGACGUUGAGGCUCGAAAGCGUGGGGAGCAAACAGGAUUAGAUACCCCUGUAGUC